CUAUCUGCAGGAGCUAAUAAGGAAAGGCAUUCCUCAUCAUUUCCGAGCGAUCGUUUGGCAGUUAUUAUGUAAUGCCACUGACAUGCCAGUAAAGAAUCAGUAUUCUGAACUCUUAAAGAUGUCCUCACCCUGUGAAAAACUCAUACGCAGAGAUAUUGCCCGCACAUAUCCAGAACAUGACUUCUUCAAAGGCCAGGACAGCCUGGGACAGGAAGUUCUGUUUAAUGUCAUGAAGGCAUAUUCUCUGGUUGAUCGUGAGGUUGGUUAUUGUCAGGGCAGUGCCUUCAUCGUAGGAUUGCUACUUAUGCAGAUGCCGGAGGAGGAGGCUUUCUGUGUGUUUGUCAGACUGAUGCAGGAGUACAGGCUUAGAGAGUUGUUUAAACCCAGCAUGGCUGAACUGGGUCUGUGCAUCUACCAGUUUGAGCACUUGCUACAGGAGCAGUUGCCAGAGCUGAACGUUCAUUUCCGUUCUCAGAGUUUUCAUACAUCUAUGUACGCCUCGUCCUGGUUUCUCACACUCUUCCUCACCUUCCUGCCCCUUCCAAUAGCUACACGUAUCUUUGACAUCUUUAUGUAUGAGGGUUUGGAGAUCAUAUUCCGAGUCGGAAUAGCGAUAUUGCAGUACAACCAGACAGACCUCAUACAGCUAGACAUGGAGGGAAUGUCACAGCACUUUCAGAAGGUGAUUCCGCAUCAGUUUGAUAGCUGCCCGGAUAAACUGAUCCUACGGGCUUAUCAAGUCAAAUACAAUCCCAAAAGAAUGAAAAAGUUAGAAAAGGAAUAUACCACUAUCAAGAACAAAGAGAUGGAGGAACAGAUAGAAAUUAAGAGACUACGUACAGAAAAUAGACUACUGAAGCAGAGGAUUGAGACACUGGAAAAAGAGAGUGCUGCUUUGGCAGACAGGUUGAUUCAGGGUCAGGUGACUCGAGCCCAGGAGGCCGAGGAGAACUAUGUUAUCAAGCGCGAACUGGCUGUGGUUCGGCAACAGUGUUACACAGCCAGUGAGAGUCUGGAGAAGGCGCAAGACACCAUACGUGAACUUCAGCAACACAAGUAUACAGAGGAGUUUGUGAGUGGGCUGCAGACUCAGUUAGAACAGUCUCGUCUACAGGAGGCUGAACUACUCGGUGCUUUGAAGGAAAUGCAGGACAAAGUGCUCGAUCUGGAAAAGAGGAACAGCUCUUUGCCUGAUGAAAUCAAUGUAGCUCAGCUGCAGGAGGAGCUGAAGCUGGUGAAACUGAGAGAGCAGGAGACUCUACGCUCCUUUAGAGAGAUGCAAGAGGCCGUUACUGAUCUCAACCACUGCUGGCAGCAUCAUACGUCUCGUGGAGGAGGAGGUCACUGGAAAGAGUCUCCUAAAAAGAAUGCACUGAAUGAGCUACAGGACAAGCUGAUGAGUCUGAGACUGCGAGAGGCUCAGGGUCAAGCUGAGCUCAAAGAGGUCAAACUUAAAAACCUGCAGCUGGAGAGCCAGAACCAGAUCAACUGUAAACUAGUUGUCAGACAUGAGCAAGAAAGUGCCAGCCUGCAGGAGAGACUGCAGAACGCUCUUUCUCACAACAAAACACUACAAAGCCAGCUCAACGAAAUGAAGAGAAAGAUGGCCGAGUCUGACUGCAAGAGCAAAGAGGAGGUGAUGGCGGUCCGUCUAAGAGAAGCUGACAGCAUGGCCGCAAUGGCUGAACUCCGGCAAAAGAUUGCCGAGCUAGAAAUACAGAAAGAGGAGGGUUUGAUCCAAGGCCAGCUGAAUCACUCAGACUCCAGACAGUAUAUAACUGAACUGAGACAGCAGAUCGCCGAACUCAAGAGCGAGAUCAGGCAGCUGCGUGGACAGCCUUCCAAGUUCCAAAAUACUGGUGGUGGCGUUUAUCAGGACCUGUGUUUGGAAAGCCCAGCGUCUGCAGAAGGUGAUUACCUCAGUUCGGACGAGGACCCUCUUCAGAGCCACCUGCCUGUGAGCUCCCUGUAUCCGCACCACUCGUCACCUCGUCUGGACAGUCAAGGCAGCACGGACAGCGACGGCGAGGAAAGGAACCCCAUUCAGACUCCCUGCCAAGACCCUCUGCCUACCCAGCAGCAGCUUUACCCGAGUAUGGUGUGCGCCGAAGCACUCGAGAACUGAGAUUGCUUGAAAUGGUGAGACGAGAUGGACGGAAACCUUUAGGAAUAGACUGCACAAAAUGCACACACAUAUAGCGUGAGAGAGAGAUUAUGUACAUCCACCCAGAAGCUGUCAGAGGACUGAAUUCGGAGUUCUGUGUAACAAAACAUACAUGCAUACAGAAGGCAAACUGUCCUCUUCUCAGAGUGCCAGAAAGUUCGGCCAUUUUUGCCAUUUUCUCUUUUCAAAGAAAACAGUGUGGCCUUGAAACUACCUCUGAUUUAUCCAGACACUCACUGAAUCCCUGUGAGCAUACCAACUUCACCAAUACAACAGCCAUCUGGCUUGAAAUGAGGUGACAGAAGAGAGAAAAACCAAGUAGGAAACACCUUCAGGUGUACUGAAAGUUUGCAGCACCCUAUCACAUCAUGGGAUUGUCUUUCACGCUCAGUUGGCGUCAAACGUAGAGACCAUCUCUGCUGUUUGCCUCUCUCAGCCUGGACGUUCUUCGUUUUUUUUUUGUUGUUGUUGUUUUGUUUUGGUCGUGUUCCUGUGGAGAGGAUUUGCACCUUUUAUGUUUAUCUCAAACGCAACAGACACUACAAUCACUUUAAUGAGAGCUGAAAGCUGAAGCAGAGAAAACACAAACGAAGUCUUAUUAUAUAACAUAAUAGGGAUGUUAAUAGUUACAUACAUAGAUGAAUAUUACCGUAGCUCAUCCAUGUAUUUGUGUGUGUUUUAUACAAAACAAAAGUGAUCAAAAUUUGGAAUGGAAAAUAUCCAUUGCAAAAGAAAACUGUCAACAUUGCCAAAUGUUUUUUUUAUGUUAUUUAUAUGUUUCUUUCUUUUAUGUUUUUUAAUGUACAUGUACUUCAUGCAGAGGCCAAACUAUUUAAUUUAUACUAUUCUUCUGUGCCAAUCCUGAACAACAGCAUGAAGCUGAAACAACAGGGUCUCCAGAAAAGAGAUUAGUUUUAAAAAAAGGGUAAAGAAAAGAAAAACAACUGCUGCUAUGACAUAUCUAGUUAGUUAUUUUAUUAUUAUUAUUAUUAUUAACCCCUCUCCCAUGUAAGGUAGAACUAUAAGUCCAAGAUAUACUGUGAAGUUAUUAUUGACACGACGCUUACCAGCAAUGAGUUGCCUAGACCUCAAGCAACUAUGCGAUAUUGAUUUGCAUUUCACAACUAUUAAGUCAGAUUUAGAUUUUUAUAGGUUUGUGCUGGUUCUAAAGCAACUUCCGGAAGACUGUAGCUCUAAGUCGUCUUCGUUUGUUAGGCGAAAAGCUCGCUUGCAUUUGACUGAACUACGGACGGUUUACAAACAAACGUAACUGCUACACUAAAUUACAGUCAGUUCACAAAAUAAUGUGAGGUUUUGUAUAUAUACGUAUGUUAUACAAAUAUUUCAUACUUGUAACAGUUUUCUUCCUUUUAAUCGAGUUUGGUCACUUUAAUUUUUUACCCACUAUUUCGUAACCUGUCUUGAAGACUUCCAUCUUACUCAGUACUGUCUACGAUGCUGUGUUUGUCUGACCACACAUGCUGCAUCAGUGUCAUUGCCUUUCCCCACCACUGCCUCAUUUUGCUAAAGCUCGUCGGGCGUUGCAUUUAUCAAACAUGUUACAUGUUUACAUGACUUUCUGAGAGCGAUACAUUGCCGACAUUUGCACCCUUUAACGUUUAUCGACAAAAACCAGUGAGAAGCUGCUCUCAGUCAUAUCUUAUGACAGUAUGAUGCAUUACAAGACAUUUCGGAAGAAGUAUUUACAGUAUAUUACAUCAAAACCAUUUAUGUGUGUUUAUAAAGCUCCUUUUGAGUGGUUGUGAGUUUUCAAGGUUACCUAGGGUUGCUGUUUUAACCUACCACAGUGUUGUAUUGACUAAAGUUUGUUUUUUGUCCAACGCAAAAUAGUUUAUCAAUGUUUCGUGUGAAACCACUUGCUAUUUUUCCCUUGAUCAAACAUGAGCUUGAGAUUUUAAUAUUGUUUCAUAUUGCACUAGCAUUAUCUCUGCUAGCGCUUUACUCUGAUUUAGCACAUCCUUCCUGUUCCCCAGUGACCUCUGUAACAUUUAAAACCAUCCACAAACCGGUUUCAGAAGGGUGUACGGUUUAUGAACCGUGUUCUUUACAAGAAAAGCAGCAAGUAAAGGAAGUCACUUUGCACCUCUUGUGUCUUUCUGAUCUUUAAAGGCAAACCUCAGAGGGUCUCUGAAGUUGGUCGAGCUUUAUCAAGUAGUUGUUUUACCAACAUUUGUUCCGGUUUGGGGCUGUUGGAUUUCAAAUAGUCGAAGGGAACUUUCUUCACAACUUGAUUACAAAACGCAACGGUUUUGUGGUGUGAGUUUUAGCUUCUGAAGAAUAUUUGCUAAUAGGAAAUCAGAAAUGGCUGUUUUGAAAUGAACUUCGGAUGAGAGGUGUGUUGUUCAGUGAGUCGAUUUUGUUUAAAAGAAAAAGUCAGUCUUAUUAGACUUCAUUUACCGUUACCCGACCAGGAAUUAGAUGGCUAAUAUGGUCAAACACAUUUCUGUCUCACAUUGAGCUCUAAUUUCACAUUCAGAAUGGCUGAAUUAUGUUCUAAUCCGUGGGAGAAGAAAAAAAGAUGAAUGAAAAAUGUUUUGGUGAUAAUAAUAUCAGUACUUUGUGGUAUUAUGAGUCAGUUUUCCCUGCAUUAAGUCUGUCACAUACCUCAGAACAUGUUAUCGCUGUUUCAGUUGAAGCUGAAUAAUUUUAUAUGCUGUUAUCUGUUAUCAUCCUUUCUUUUUUUGUAGUCUUUUUAAUGUCAGUUUUUAUCUCUCACUCUGAUAUUGUUGUUUAAAGGUUGGCAUGUCAGCGAUAAUCAUAAUGAAACCGUUAAUGCUUCUAUGUAAGAUAUGUUUUAGUUACAGUAGACAACCUAACUACAACAGAAUGCAUAAAUGUACACUUUUAUGCAUGGGCUUGAAGAAAAUCACUACUUAUCAUAUUAUUUAAUGCCUCCAUUGGGUUUUUUUUUAUAUUGUAGUAUACUAAAUCAUUGCAGACAAAACUGUCCUUUUUUGUUAAUGUGGAGAUGGAUGCAUAAAUUAAGGAAAAUAAUAUUUGUAUAUAGCGCAUGUAAUGUCAUUCAAUUGUUACAAGCAUACAAAAAAAAAUGUGCUUGAUGUAUGUACUGUAUUUAGUGUUUUCAUUCAGAUGUUGCUAUUUCAAACACUGUGUGUAUUAAAACAGCAACCCCAACCCUAAAAGCAAAGGUCCAUAUUUCAUACACAUCACAUUAUGCUUUCAGGUGUAGCCAUAGGAAAUAAAUGGUCGGUGAGGGCGUGAGGUCAUAACGCAGAGGCUGAUGGGACAUCACCUCCUCUAUAGUGCUCCAACAGCUGCCUUACCUCCUUUCACCAGUACGUAAAUGUCCAGUAGUCUCCCCAUGACACCCAUCAUCAGCCCACAUCCUCUCUCUCCUACAGUUUUACUGAUGUGUUAUUAAGAAUGACAGUACUAAAGAUUAUAUAAAUGGCAAUGUUAUCAAAUGAUGAUCCAGUGUUCUGUAUUUGAUGAUAAAUAAAAUGUAUUUAAAAAAAAUAAACAUUUAUGCUAUACAUUCGCAAAGUUCAAA
Labeo rohita (rohu) is the source of this 5696-nucleotide RNA transcript. It is a transcript of the gene named ecotropic viral integration site 5 like, with no coding region annotated. The transcript is spliced from 18 exons. NCBI's taxonomy places the organism in Eukaryota, Metazoa, Chordata, Actinopteri, Cypriniformes, Cyprinidae. The record is from RefSeq and is a predicted model, not a curated record.